This 29-nucleotide small RNA is filed under the name Bombyx mori (domestic silkworm). RNAcentral's name for it is "ovarian small RNA-16816". Lineage: Eukaryota; Metazoa; Arthropoda; Insecta; Lepidoptera; Bombycidae. The record is from RNAcentral.
GCGACGUCGACUGCCUACCAUUCGGUCCG